CUGAAGUAUUAUUUACACACCACUUUAAAUUAAUUUGUAGAUAUCCUGACAUUCAUCCAUGACUAAACGAGAAUGUUUUAAAUAACAGUAUACUUGCUUAUAUUGCAACAAUAAUAUUAUUCAUAACAAAAUUAACAAAUUAUCAAAUAUUGCCUUGUAUCUUAUUCAUAUUCAACAUUUUUCAAAACAUCUUACGUAAGUGUUUUUAAUUUUAUUUUAUUUUGUGUUUUGUUACAGGAUAUUGUCAAGCAACAAUGAUUUGUCCAACUUUUGUACCUCUUUAGUCUCUGAAUCUACAAUAAUUCCCUCCCAAACAAACACACUUUUUUCCUUUCAUUCUUUCCUACUUCCUCCCUUCUCUCUGCAUUUCUAUCCUGCUCUCUGUCUUUCUCUUUCUCCCUCUCUCUCUGCAUAAUGUAGUUUGCAAUUUAAGAAGCCAUUGUCUUCUACAAUAUCUUUUGUUCUGGAAGAAAAAUCCCUCAACUGUUUUCGAUAAGGGUGAUCCAAAAAAGACAAAAAUGUAUCCUGCUUUACACUAAAAUGCUCAAGGUUCCAGCAACCUCUCAGUUUUCUAAUUGGAGCCUAUGACAGAGGGACACUGGCAAGGGUUAGCAGAGCCCAUCAGGUUUCUGGACCUGUAAUCCCAUGGACUUGUAAGCUCCCGGAGUCAGCUGAAAGGUAAAAGCCUUUUGAUAAUCAUGUGUUUAGCUAUUAUUGGGCCUUGGCGGAGGCUGAACACAUGAGCCUACUGAAAUCUAUUCUACUGAAUUGACUACAAGAAGAUGGUAUCUUAAGUUGCAGUUAAAAUAUAAAGAGUGGUUAUAUGUAGAGUCUCCGAGCAUGUUAUAUGGAAAUUCAAAUAAACUCAAGAAGAAAGACCAUGAUCAUAUAACAAAACUGCUUUGUUUUCUGUAGUCAAAAGUUUUCUAAGGAAACCUAGACUGACAAUACAUUUUCAUUUCAUUUGUGGAGCCCCUGGGAGAUGGAAAAUUCCCAGUUAGAUCCUACAAACCACUUGUUUCUUCAUAACCUCACCUGUCAUGACUAUUCUUCACUCUGCUUGAUACAGACUAGCAACCUUGCUGUUCCUCAGAGUAAAUGGUUGUGCUCAGGCCUCAGGGCUAUUGCACUGGUAAUACCCUUGCCUGGAAGAGUGUUCCCUACAUACUGACAUGGCACCUCCUGAACUUCCUACAGAUGUUUUCUCAAAUGCCACCAUGUCAGGGCUUUAUUUUGUCUCUUUUAUCUAUCAUUUGCACUUAUAACCUUCUAAGAUACUUAUAAUUUACUUUUUAUUACAGAUUACAGUGAGUUUAUAAAAUAUUUGUUCUUUAAUUCUAGGAGUUUUUAAAAUUUUCUUUUUUUCUUGUUAAUAACUGGAGCAUGCAAAGUACAUGAAAUGAUAAUCUGGCAGCUUAACAGCCAUUCAAUAUAUAAGUGGAAUGAGUGUGACAUGGAGCAUCUCACUUUCAAAUUCUAUUCUCAUAUAAAGUAUUAAUUCAAUUUGUUCACAGAUGUUUUAGGCUAUGUUAUUAAAAGAAACAGCAAUCUAAUCAUAUGUUUUCUCUGGAUUGUUCAAUCUAUAAGCCACAAUCAAUUUUUGAAAUUUUAAAAUUUUCAGGUUGGAUAUUAAAAUACAGCAGGGGCAUGACUUAUCCAUGGUGAAUUCAAUAUAGCUCACAUAUGGGUCAAAAUAAAGGAAAAUAUAAAAUAUGUUAUUUAGCAUAAUGAGCAUAGAGUACUUUGAAGAUAGUGAAAUGAAAGAAAGCGUUACAAAAGUAGCUUAAGAUAAAUUUAGAAGUUCAGAAUUGAGGGAAAACUAUUUAAAGAUGUGAGAGACUAUCAUUUUAAACCUAAGGAGAAAGAGUCAUUAAAGAAAUUGAAUGUAAAGAUUCAAGGAGAAGAAAUAAAUGAUGCAGAAGAUUCCUUAAAAAUGUGUGGGAAAAUGAGCUAUGAAAUACAAAUGCAAGCAUUAACUCCCAUCACAUGUUCCUCAGGGGGGAAAUUAAAGAAAAAAAGUUAGUGUGUGUGAAUGUGUCUUGCUGUACACCAGCAUGCAGAAAGUGAGACUGUGGCCACCUGGAUUGCUCACAUGAAAAAUUCCCUCAGAGUGUGGUGGUGGUGGUGGUAUAGUUGUUGGUGUGUGUGUGUGUGUGUGUGACAGAGAGAGAGAGUGUGUGUUUAUGGUAGUUCUAAGGGGUUGGAGAGGCUUGUAAGUGCAUUGAUAGGCUUGCCAUAAUAAAGAAGAAGAGUGUAACAGCUUUAAAAUAAUUCCCUGGUGUAGAGAUGAUGCGAUUUACUAAAAUCAUCAAAAUCUUAGUAAUGUAUUAAUAAUAUUGCUUUGUUUUUCUUAAAAUUUGAAUGUAGAAAUAUUCUCUAUGCUUUUGAAUAAAAUCCAACUUUACUGAACAAUACAUUGUAAUCAAAAUAUUGACACAUUAUUAUUAAAAAUGUCAUCUCGAUGUAAAGGUGAUUUCAAUGACUGGUUCAAUAAAUAAUCAAU
This 2503-nucleotide long non-coding RNA is filed under the name Homo sapiens (human). Its description in RNAcentral is "HSALNT0203348". The record is from RNAcentral. Lineage: Eukaryota; Metazoa; Chordata; Mammalia; Primates; Hominidae.